GGGGAUGUAGCUCAGUGGUAGAGUGCUUGCCUAGUGUACACGAGGCCCUGGGUUCAAUCCUCAGGACCACCA
This 72-nucleotide transfer RNA is filed under the name Heterocephalus glaber (naked mole-rat). It matches the Rfam family "tRNA". From Rfam's summary of the family: Transfer RNA (tRNA) molecules are approximately 80 nucleotides in length. Their secondary structure includes four short double-helical elements and three loops (D, anti-codon, and T loops). Lineage: Eukaryota; Metazoa; Chordata; Mammalia; Rodentia; Bathyergidae. The record is from Rfam by way of RNAcentral.